CCUACGGGAGGCUGCAGUGGGGAAUAUUGCACAAUGGGGGAAACCCUGAUGCAGCGACGCCGCGUGGGUGAAGGAGUAUCUCGGUACGUAAAGCUCUAUCAGCAGGGAAGAUCAUUGCCGUUACUUGACAAAGAACCACCGGCAAAAUACGUGCCAGCAGCCGCGGUAAUACGUAUGGUGCAAGCGUUAUCCGGAUUUAUUGGGUGAAAAGGGAGCGCAGGCGGCGCGUUAAGCCUGGUGUGAAAGUCCGGGGCCCAACCGCGGGACUGCAUUGGGAACUGGCGCGCUGGAGUGCCGGAGGGGUAAGCGGAAUUCCUAGUGUAGCGGUGAAAUGCGUAGAUAUUAGGAGGAACACCAGUGGCGAAGGCGGCCUACUGGACGGUAACUGACGCUGAGGCUCGAAAGCGUGGGGAGCAAACAGGAUUAGAUACCCGGGUAGUC
This 441-nucleotide ribosomal RNA is filed under the name uncultured bacterium. RNAcentral describes it as "partial 16S ribosomal RNA". It matches the Rfam family "Bacterial small subunit ribosomal RNA", at positions 338 to 795 of the family's 1533-position model. The record is from RNAcentral.